RNAcentral lists this ribosomal RNA (647 nucleotides) under uncultured bacterium. RNAcentral describes it as "bacterial SSU rRNA". The stretch from base 1 to 548 matches the Rfam family "Bacterial small subunit ribosomal RNA", at positions 338 to 873 of the family's 1533-position model. The record is from RNAcentral.
CCUACGGGAGGCAGCAGUAAGGAAUAUUGGUCAAUGGGCGCAAGCCUGAACCAGCCAUGCCGCGUGCAGGAAGACGGCCCUAUGGGUUGUAAACUGCUUUUGAACAAGAGAAAACCUCGGUACGUGUACCGAGCUGAUAGUAUUGUUAGAAUAAGCAUCGGCUAACUUCGUGCCAGCAGCCGCGGUAAGACGAAGGAUGCAAGCGUUAUCCGGAUUCAUUGGGUUUAAAGGGUGCGUAGGCGGCCUGAUAAGUCAGUGGUGAAAUCUCGCAGCUUAACUGAGAAACUGCCAUUGAUACUGUCGGGCUUGAGUACAGAUGAUGUGGGCGGAAUAUGACAUGUAGUGGUGAAAUACUUAGAUAUGUCAUAGAACACCGAUUGCGAAGGCAGCUCACAAAAACUGUAACUGACGCUGAGGCACGAAAGUGCGGGGAUCAAAACAGGAUUAGAUACCCUGGUAGUCCGCACCGUAAACGAUGAUUACUCGUUGUUGGGCGAAUAAUGACCGUCAGACGACCAACGACGAAAGACGAGUAAGUAAAUACCACCCUCGGGAGGUACGGACCGGCCGAACGGAGAAAACGUUAAAAGGUAAAAGUUAGACGGACGNGAGGAGNGCCGACGGACGACACGAGGGGAGGUAGGGAG